RNAcentral lists this long non-coding RNA (1008 nucleotides) under Coturnix japonica (Japanese quail). RNAcentral's name for it is "lncRNA (ENSCJPG00005001697.1)". Lineage: Eukaryota; Metazoa; Chordata; Aves; Galliformes; Phasianidae. The record is from RNAcentral.
GCCCCCCCCACCCUAAAGCUUCCCCCCCCACCUGAAAACCAACCCCCCCGGCCCUAUAGCGCCCCCAUCCCCCGCCAUCCCCUGCGCUGGGCCGUAUCCCCCCCCCCCCGCUGACCCCAAAUACCGGCCGUGCCUUGUCCCCACCCCCGGCCCCAUAUGGGCUGUGCCCUGUCCCGGUUCCGACCCCAUAAAGGCCGUGCCUUGUCCCGGUUCCGUCCCCCCACAUGGGCUGUGCUUUGUCCCGGUUCGGUCCCCAUAUCGUCCGUGCCCUGUCCCGGUUCCGACCCCAUAAAGGCCGUGCCUUGUCCCGGUUCCGUCCCUAUAUCGGCCAUGCCUUGCCCCGGUUCCGACCCCAAAUGGGCCGUGCCCUGUCCCGGUUCCGACCCCAUAAGGGCCGUGCUUGGUCCCGGUCCCAAAUGGGCCAUGCCUUGUCCCGGUUCUGCCCCUAUAUCGCCCGUGCCUUGUCCCGGUUCCGUCACCCCACAUGGGCUGUGCUUUGUCCCGGUUCGGUUCCCAUAUCGGCUGUGCCUUGGUCCGGUUCCGUCCCCCCAUAAAAGCCGUGCUUGGUCCCGGUUCCGACCCCACAAAGGCCGUGCCUUGUCCCGGUUCUGUCCCCAAAUGGGCCGUGCUUUGUCCCGGUUCCGACCCCAUAAAGGCCGUGCCUUGUCCCGGUUCUGUCCCCAAAUGGGCCGUGCCUUGUCCCGGUUCCGACCCCAUAAAGGCCGUGCUUGGUCCCGGUUCGGUCCCCGGUCCCGGUUCCGUCCCCAUAUCAGCCGUGCCCCCCCCAUGUCUGUACCCCCCCUUUCGGGCCGUGCCUUGGCCCGGUUCGGUCCCCAUACGGGCCACGUCUUGUCCCGGUUCCGACCCCCCAUAUGGGCCGUGCCUUGGCCCGGUUCCGUCCCAUAUCAGCCGUGCCCCCCCCCCCAUAAUGACAAGGUCCCGGUCCCGGUUCCGGUUGGGGUUUAUUGGGGGGGUCCCGUCCGGGCUGUUCGCUCCCGAACCCAAUAA